UAGGGAAUCUUGGACAAUGGGCGAAAGCCUGAUCCAGCCAUGCCGCGUGAGUGAUGAAGGCCUUAGGGUUGUAAAGCUCUUUCGCCAGGGAAGAUAAUGACGGUACCUGGAUAAGAAGCCCCGGCUAACUUCGUGCCAGCAGCCGCGGUAAUACGAAGGGGGCUAGCGUUGUUCGGAAUUACUGGGCGUAAAGCGCACGUAGGCGGUUUUCCAAGUUGGAGGUGAAAUCCCCGGGCUUAACCCGGGAACUGCCUCCAAAACUGGGACACUCGAGUCCGAGAGAGGUGAGUGGAAUUUCCAGUGUAGAGGUGAAAUUCGUAGAUAUUGGAAAGAACACCAGUGGCGAAGGCGGCUCACUGGCUCGGUACUGACGCUGAGGAGCGACAGCGUGGGGAGCAAACA
Molecule: ribosomal RNA, 402 nt
Filed under: uncultured Parvibaculum sp.
Lineage: Bacteria; Pseudomonadati; Pseudomonadota; Alphaproteobacteria; Hyphomicrobiales; Parvibaculaceae
Description: bacterial SSU rRNA
Rfam family: Bacterial small subunit ribosomal RNA
Source: RNAcentral